UCACGUCUCUGCAGCCGAUCCGCACUGCGCUGAAGUGCAACGUUCUUGCUGAGGUCAGCGACCAUGAGAGGACCCGGGAGUCCGACCCUGAACCUUCUGGGUCCCCAGCUGAACGAUCACGCAGCCCCGGGGCCCUGUGAUGAAUUCUGAUCAGGCAGAGCUGCUGUGUGUAUCCUUCACUGUCAACCAGGAAGGAAAACAGUCGCUCAGGUCAUCGCCCAACAUGGAUUCUCCAGAGGUCAGGUCCCAAAGCAGGAAUCCAAGAAGUGAAAACCAGAGACGCCUCUCCACUUCCUCCCACAGCAUCUCGAGGCACUGGACUCUUACUCCAUGUUCUCCACUGCAACACGAGAGUUAAGGUCAUGAGGAGUGAAGUGGUGAGCUGAGUCUGAGGCUGUUUUCCAUUAAAGGGCCGUGAAACUUUGAAGUGAGACUUUUAACAGAGCGCCCUCGAGGCCCGGACUCGUUCAUUAAAGGGUCCGGGACCAUGGAGCUGAUCUGAAGUCAGGGUCGGAACUGUGAGGCAUGAAACACCACUGAGAGCAGGACUCAUGAUCU
Long non-coding RNA from Platichthys flesus (European flounder), 558 nucleotides. RefSeq lists it as uncharacterized. The transcript has 3 exons. NCBI's taxonomy places the organism in Eukaryota, Metazoa, Chordata, Actinopteri, Pleuronectiformes, Pleuronectidae. The record is from RefSeq and is a predicted model, not a curated record.